UGGGGAAUAUUGCGCAAUGGGGGAAACCCUGACGCAGCGACGCCGUGUGAGGGAAGAAGGCUUUCGGGUCGUAAACCUCUGUCGGGAGGGAAGAACCGAUUGGAGUCGAACAGGCUCCUUUCCUGACGGUACCUCCAAAGGAAGCACCGGCUAACUCCGUGCCAGCAGCCGCGGUAACACGGAGGGUGCAAGCGUUAAUCGGAAUCACUGGGCGUAAAGCGCACGUAGGCGGUCUUGUAAGUCAGACGUGAAAGCCCUCGGCUCAACCGGGGAACUGCGUUUGAUACUGCUUGACUUGAGUAUCGGAGAGGGUGGCGGAAUUCCAGGUGUAGGAGUGAAAUCCGUGGAUAUCUGGAGGAACACCGGCGGCGAAGGCGGCCACCUGGACGAAUACUGACGCUGAGGUGCGAAAGCGUGGGGAGCAAACA
Molecule: ribosomal RNA, 428 nt
Filed under: uncultured prokaryote
Description: bacterial SSU rRNA
Rfam family: Bacterial small subunit ribosomal RNA
Source: RNAcentral